Non-coding RNA from Pelobates cultripes (western spadefoot toad), 238 nucleotides. Lineage: Eukaryota; Metazoa; Chordata; Amphibia; Anura; Pelobatidae. The record is from the annotation of a GenBank genome assembly.
CUAGAUCCCAAAUGCUUCUUAUUGGAAAUGUGGUGGAUUAAGGGUUUGUUUUCUACAUUAAUUAUAUUUCCACAAGAGGGCCCUGAAUUUAAAUGUUAAAAAGAACACACUAAAUGUUAAUAUAUUACAUGAGAUUGUUCCCUUAUUUACAAAAGCAUGAAUAACGUUAUAUGUGCAACAGUUACAUAGGUCACUUUUUAAUGAAGCUAACCAAUGCCUCAUAUACAUAAUUAUACAU